UUUUAACAGUUAAUUAGCAUAAAUAAGUCUAAAAUACGGAUAACAUAAUCAUAAGUGCGAAAAAAAGUGAUAAAACAGGGGAAGUCAUAACGACACAGCCCAAACCGGAGUGUCACAAGUCAUGAGCUACUACGGAGUCUACUAUAAGUCUAAAAAUGUCUGGAACUUGAUACAAAGGUCUGAAGAUAACAUAAAUAAUAGAAGAUAAGGGAGAAAUGGGGCUGCGGAUAUCAACAGCUACCUCAUCACUCCUAGUCCGCCUGAUCUGGAAGGAAUCAAUGCUCAGGAGCGAACUCUGCUAUGCCUGUAUCUGCACACACUGUACAGAGAGUAAUGUGAGUACUCUGACCCAAUGAGUAAUAAUUAUAAAUAAUUAGUGAACGCUCGAAAUCACAUAAAGGCACAAGGAAAUUCUAUUUUAAAGUAGUUAAAUCAGUAAGCAGUAAGGCAAUAAAGUAUCGAAUAAUUCUCUUUAAAACCGGUAAAAUAGAUAAUUCAACAGAUGAAAUAUAGAUAAAAAUUUGCCCCUCAAGCUCAGUAUCAAUCUCUAAAAAGAGUAUCAAUCCUUCGGGCUUAGUAUAAGUCACUCAUCAUAAUAUCAGCCCCUUGGGCUCACUCUCAUAUUACAUGGGUACUCGUGUUCACUGUGAGUGUGCAAACUCCGGAAGGGGCCCCUUACGGCCCAAAUACAAGGCCUGAAAACCUUCUCAUAUCAACAUAAGGCCUGAAAGCAUUCUCACAUCACUCACAUGGCCUGAAAGCCUUAUCACAUCACGCAUAAGGCCUGAAAGCCUUCUCAUACUCACAAGGCCUGAAAGCCUUCUCACAUCACUCAACAUAUCCUCACAUAUGGCCCUCGUCCUCAAUCAUUCCGAAUAUCAUCACAAGACCCUCGGACAUUAAUAAAAUAAUAGUACUCAGCCCAAACAACAUUUGAAAUAUCAUUUAAGUCUCAAAAUCAAGUAGAAGUGACUAAGUUUGUAAAACAAUAUAAAUCAAUAGGACUGAGUUCAAAUAGUAUGUCAAAAUAGUGAGAAAAUAUUGAUAAGUUCCCGAAGGGUCCAUAGAAUUGACACGAAGCCCAAAUAUGACAUUAAAUCCAAGUCAUGAUGAUAAUAAUUAAGUCUCGAUCAAAUACGCGGUAAAAACAUCAAUCGGGUUGGACUAAGUCAUAAUCCCCAUAAGAAACGACCCAGCGAUCGUCAUUUAGCACGUUUCUCACCUUAAUAUAGCACUACGGUGUGCAAUCCGGGGUUUCAAACCCUCAGGACAUCAUUUACAAUCAUUACUUACCUCAAUUCGGUCAAAACUCUAGCUCGCUACGCCCUUGCCUGUCGAAUAGGCCUCCUCGCGCGUCGGAUCUGGCCAAAACCACAAGGAAUGCGUCACAAUAGGCUAAAGGAACAAUAUCCAAUCGAAUGUUUUCGAUAAAUAUCAAAAUUAUCAAAAUUAGCAAAACCCGAGCCCUGGGCCCACUUCUCGAAGCUCAAAAUUUUUUACAUCAAUGGUUUCCUUAUCUCGCCACAAGUCUAUACAUACCAAGAACUCCCAAAUUCGAGCUCAAACGACCCAUUAAAAUCCAGUUUGAAAUUUCAAAACUCAAGCCCUAGUUCUUCCGCUUUUUGCUAGAUUUUCAUGAAUUGCUAGGUUGAUUCUACAAUUAAAUCAUGUUUUUGGAUCAUAAAACUCACCUCAAAUCAAUCCCAGUCGAAACCCUUUCAAUUCUUGUCCAAGAGCUCUCAAGGAUAUUCAAAAAUGGUGGAAAUAAGACUUAGCUCGCGGAGGAAAUAUCAUUAAAGACUCUUCUGCCCUGGUCAACUUUACUCUAUGCGAACGCGAGGUCCUUUUCGUAUUCGUGAUGCUCAAUAAUUCCACUGCCAAAAAUUGCCCUUCACGAACGCAGUCCCCAACCCACGAACGAAAAGCUUCCUUUGGCCCCACUAUGCGAACGUGGACCUCAUGGUCGCGAACGCGAAGAAUAACACAACCAGAACCCCAGGUACUCCUACGCGAACACGAUGAUCAAGAUCUCCACCCUCCGCGAACGCGACUUCCUAAACGCAAACGCAAAGAACAUUUCACAGGGCCCCAUCUUCCUUUUUUGCGAACGCGGCCCCAGGCACGCGAACGCGAAGGCCAACACUUGACUGCAAUAACUGCUGAGUUUUCUGCGUUUUUCUCCAAGUUCAAACCUCCCGAUAGCCAUCCGAAAUCGCCGCGAGGCCCUCGGGACCUCAACCAAGAGUGCCAACCUAACCUAAAACAUCACCAAAAUCGUUCCAUUCAUCAAAACACAUCCAACAAUACCAAAAUAACCAAUUAUCAACAAAUACAAGCCUAAGUUUUUCAAAAUCUUCCGUAACCUAAUUCGAUAAAAACCCCACAAAAUCGCCUCUGAAUCACCUGAAAUUCUGCAUACACAUCCUAAAUCACCUAACAAAGCUACUGCAACUUUCAGAAUUCUAUUUCGACUCUCGGAUCAAAAUCUCAGCUAUCAACAGGAAAUCACCAAAAUACUAACUUCGCCAAUUCAAGCCUAAUUUUACAUCGGACCUUCAAUACUACUUCCGAUCACGCUCCUAAGUCAUAAAUCAUACCCAGAAGCUAACCAAAUCACCGGAAAUUACAUCCGAGCCCUCUAACUCAUAUGUCAAUAUCCAGUUGACUUUCCAAAACAAGCCUUCCUUAAAGAGACUAAGUGUCUUAUUUCCUACCAAAACCAAUCCAAAUCGACUUGAUCACCUCAAGUACCGAUAAUGAAGCAUCGAGAAGCAUAAAAUGGGGGAAACAAAGCGGUAUCUCAUGAGAUGACGGGUCAGGUCAUCUCAUCCUCCCCCACUAAAUCAAACGCUCGCCCUUGAGUGAGUCAAGAAACAUACCUGAAGCCUCAGACAUGCGAGGAUAUCUGCAAGCGGAAAAAAUUCAUACCAAGAAACUCCAAAGUCAAUAAAACAAGCACACAACAUGUCCUCCAAUAUCUGAAUAGUACGCUCGAACUGCCAUCCGUCUGAGGAUGAAAUAUUGUGCUCAACUCUACCUGAGUACCCAACUCUCGCAAAAAGUACUCCAAAAUUGAGAACCUCUAUCUGAGAUAAUAGACACUGGAACACCAUGCAACCAAACAAUCUCCCGGAUAAAGAUCCAUGCCAGCGGUUCUGAAGAAUAUGUGGUACAUACCCGGGAAUGAAGUGCACGGACUUGGUCAGCCGAUCCACAAUCACCCAAAUCAAAUCAAACUUCUUCAAGGUCCGAGAGAGACCACUCACAAAAUCCAUAGUAACUCUCUCCCACUUCCUGUCAGGAAUAAUUAUCUACUGAAGCAAGCCACUUUGAUGCUCAUAUUUCACCUGCUGAUAAUUGAGACACCUAGACACAUAUCCCACUAUAUAUAUUUGUUCUUCUCCACCGAUAGUGCUGCAUUAAAUCCCGAUACAUCUUCACAGAAACCGGAUGAGUGGAAUACCGCGAGCUGUGAGCCUCCUCUAGAAUAACCUCUCUCAGCCCAUCCAGCUCGGGCACACAGAUCCCGCCCUGCAUCCUCAAUACACCAUCAUCACCUAUAGUCACAUCUCUAGCAUCAUCAUGGUAAAAUCUAUCCUUAAGGACAAAGAAAUGUGGAUCAUCAUACUAGCGCUCUCUAAUGCGAUCAUAUAAAGAAGACCGAGAAGCCACGUAAGCCAAUACCCGACUAGGCUCCAAAAUAUCUAAUCUCACAAACCAAUUGUCCAAAGCCUGAACAUCAACUGAAAGGGGUUUUUCCCCAGCUGGAAUGUACGCCAAGCUCCCCAUACUCACUGCCUUUCGACUCAAAGCAUCGGCCACUACAUUGGCCUUUCCCUGAUGAUACAAAAUAGUAAUAUUAGAAUCCUUAAAAAACUCACGCCAUCUCCGCUGCCUCAAAUUUGGAUCCUUUUGCUUGAAUAAAUGCUGAAGACUGCGAUGAUCGGUGAAUACCUCACAAGAUACGCCAUACAAGUAGUGCCUCCAAAUCUUCAAAGUAUGAACUAUGGAAGCCAACUCUAAGUCAUGAACAGGGUAGCUCUUCUCAUGGGGCUUUAACCGACGAGAAGAAUAAGCAAUCACUCUACCCUCCUGCAUCAACACACAACCAAUCCCAAAUCUCUAAGUAUCAUAAUAAACGGUAUAACAAUCUGAAGGUGAUGGAAAAACCAAUACUGGAGCGGUGGUCAAAGCUUUCUUGAGCUUAUGAAAGCUCUCCUCGCACUUGUCCGACUACACAAAUGGAGUACCCUUCUGAGUCAACUUGGUCAAGGACGAGGCAAUAGAUGAAAAACCCUGAACAAACCGACGAUAAUAGCCUGCCAAACCAAGGAAGCUACAAAUGUUUGUGGCUGAGGACGGUCUAGGCCAAAUCUGCACCGCCUUUAUCUUCUUCAGAUCGACUUUAAUACCCUCACUGGACAUCACGUGCCCCAAGAAAGCCACUAAAUUGAUCCAAAACUCACACUUGGAGAACUUUUCAUACAACUUCUCCUCCCUCAACCUCUGCAAUACAACUCGCAAAUGAUUUGUGCUCCUCCUGACUAUGCGAGUACACUAGAAUAUCAUCAAUGAAUACGAUAAUGAACGAAUCCAGAUAAGGCCGAAGUACAUUGUUCAUCAAAUGCAUGAAUGUUGCUGGGGCAUUGGUCAGGCCAAAAGACAUAAGAAGAAAAUCAUAAUGCCCAUAUCUAGUCCUGAAAGUAAUGUUAAGAAUAUCCAAAUCUUUGAUCUUCAACUGGUGAUAACCCGAAUGGAGAUCAAUCUUGGAGAACACCCUCGCUCCCCGAAGCUGGUCAAAUAAAUCAUCAAUACGAGGCAAGAGAGACUUGUUCUUCACUGUUACUUUGUUCAAUUAUCUGUAGUUAAUGCACAUUCUCAUUGUGCCAUCCUUCUUAUUCACAAACAGAACCGAUGCACCCCACGAUGAUACACUAGGACGAACGAACCCCUUAUCUAGGAGCUACUGAAGUUGCUCCUUCAAUUCUUUCAAUUUCGUUGGUUCCAUGCGAUAUGGUGAAACGAAAAUGGGUUGAGUGCCGGGUACCAAAUCAGUAUCAAAAUCAAUAUCCUUGUCCGGUGGCAUGCCUGGCAGGUCUGCAGGAAAUACAUUAUGAGACUCCCUCACAACUGAAACACAAUCAAUACUAGGAUCCUCAGCUCCGACAUUCUGCAUGAAGCUAAAUAUGACACACAACCCUUCUAAACCAUACAGUGGGCCUUUAGAAAAGAAAUCACUUUACUAGGAACAUAAUCAGUCACACCAUGCCACUCGAUCCUCGGUACACCCAGCAUAGCCAAAGUGAUUGUAUUAGCAUGACAGUCUAGAAUAGCAUGACACGGAUAUAGACAAUCCAUGCCCAGAACAAUAUCAAAAUACACCGUGCUCAAUAGCAAUAAAUCAACUCGGGUGUCCAGACAACCGAUAGUCACAACACAAGACUGGCACACAUAAUCUACAAUAAUAGUAUCACCACCAGGGUGGAUACAUAAAUAGGUAAAGCAAGACACCCUCGGGACGUACCCAAAUGAUGAGAAAAAUAUUAGGAUACAUAAGAAUAGGUGGAAACGGGAUCAAAUAAGACAGAGGCAUCUCUAUGGCAGACUAAAAUAAUACUUGUAAUAACAUCAUCUGAUGUAAUGACAUCUGUCCUACCUAGGAUAGCAUAAAAUUGAGCCUGGACAACGCCUGAUCGAACUCCACCCCUAGGAUGACCCUGGCUGCCUGACCUCCACCCCUAGCUGACUGAGCAGGUACUGAAGAACCUGGAGCAAAAGACGAGGGCUGACCCCUUUGUUGUGAUGAACUGGCAGCACAACGAGGACACCACCUCCACAUAUGUCCAAACUCUCCACACUAAUAACAACUCCCAGAUGCUGAAGAAUGGGACUGAAGGGAACCCUUCGCACCGAAGUGAGUAGGUGAUGCCCUCAGCACGGAAGAGCCCUAAACAGAGGGGGUGCGCGAUGAACUCUGAGCUGGAAGGGCACUGAGUGAAGGCUGACCCUGCUGAAAACCAUGAUGAUCACGGCCUGAAGAUGCCCCACGAUGCUCGGGAUAGGCCAAUUGAGCGGGCCUGAAGGAACGACCUCUACCGUGCUAGAACUAGCCCCUAGAUAGAGAACCACUGAAACUUCCAUAACCUCGAGGCCUUUUGGCCUCCCUCUCCUCUCUAUCCUGACGGCGAGCCAUCUCGAUCUAAUGGAAAAUAUCAACCAUCUCCUCAAAUGAAAUACCCAAAACUCUCUCUAGUCAUCAGAAUACGGAGAUGAUAGUUAAGACCAUCCACAAACCUCUUGAUCCUCUCAUGAUCUGUCGGGACCAUCCGUGCAGCAUGAUGAGCCAACUCAUAAUACCUAGCCUCAUACUGGGACACGGUCAUAUAUCCAUGAAUCAACCACUCAAACUGUCUACGGAGCUCCUCCCUGCCGGACUGCGGUAGAUACUUCUCCAACAAGAGAGUGGAGAACUCUUGCCAAGUCAAAGGCGCUGCACCUGCCGGCCUAUGCCUCUCAUAUGCCUCCCACCAAGUGAAUACAGCCCCACUGAACUGUAAGGUGGUAAAUGAUACACCGCUUGACUCCAAAAUCCUUAUUUUCAAGACGACGUUGAUCAUCUUCUGGCAUAGCUGGAGCCACAAAGUCCUGAACUGGCGCAACCGGCUGAGCUGCAGGUGCUCCCGGUGUCUAAAAUCCUUGCACUACCUGCUCUGGUGUGCGAGAAGUGGGGCUCUGGUUGCCUCCCCCGGCCUGUGAAGUCGUUGUUGUGGUAGUGGAUAAACUUCCUGAACUAGGCCAGUGUAGACUGAUAGGAACUGAGCUAGGGCUUCCUGAAGACCCGGAAUCACGUUGGGCAUUGCUGGUGUCUAAACAGGUGCUGCUGGAGUAUCUACAGUUGGAGCCUGAUCCUGAGCAGAGGUAGCUUGUUGGUCAAAAGGUGCUACCUUCGCGGCUCUGCCUCUACCAUGACCGCAUCCACGACCUCUGGUAGCCUCAGUGGAUAGUACUGGUGGUCAUCCGCCGCAUCCGAUAGCACGAGUCCUCGUCCUAUGCGAGAGAAUAGAAUAUAGAAUUUUAGUACUCGGAUCAACAAAAUCGCACGAUAAGAAUUUCAAGAAUGUGAGGUUUUUCCUAAAGGUUCGACAACCUACAAGGGAUAAAUAGAGGCAUUUCUGUACAGAUCCGUGAGACUCUACUAAACCUGCUCAUCACUCGUGAGACCUAUGUGACCUAGGCUCUGAUACUAACUUGUCACGACCCAAUUCCAGAACCCGAUCAUGAUGGCACCUCUAGUGAAGAUAAGACCAGUCAACAGAAUAACAACACCCCUUUUAAGAGUUAAUUAGCAUAAAUAAGUCUAAAAUAUCAAUAACAUAAUCAUAAGUGCGGAAAAAAAGUGAUAAAAUAGGGGAAACCAUUCCAACACAGCCCAAAUUAGGGUGUCACAAGUCAUGAGCUACUACGGAGUCUACUACAAGUCUACAAAUGUCUGGAACUUGAUACAAAGGUCUGAAGAUAACAUAAGUAACAGAAGACAAGAGAGAAACGUGCUGCGAACGUCAGCAACUACGUCGUCACUCCUAGUCCGCCUGGUCUGGAAGGAAUCAGCGCUCAGGAGCGAACUCUACUAUGCAUGUAUCUGCACACACGGUGCAUGGAUUAAUGUGAGUAUUUCGACCCAGUGAGUAAUAAUUAUAAAUAAUGACUGAAAGCUCGAAAUCACAUAAAGGCACAACGAAAUGCUAUAUAAAAGUAGUUAAAUAAGUAAGUAGUAAGGCAGUGAAGUAUCAAAUAAUUCUCUUUAAAACCAGUAAAACAGAUAAUUUAAUAAAUGAAAUAUAGAUAGAAAUCUGCCCCUCGGGCUCAGCUCUCUCAAAACAGUAUCGGAUCCUCGGGCUCAGUAUCAGUCACUCAUCAUAAUAUCAUCCCCCCGGACUCACUCUCAUAUCACAUGGCUAACCGCGCUCACUGUGGGUGUGCAGGCUCCGAAGAGGCCCCUUACGGCCCAAGCGCUAUAUUAACACAAAGCCUGAAAGCCUUCUCAUAUCAACAUAAGGCCUGAAAGCCUUCUCACAUCACUCACAAGGCCUGAAAGCCUUCUCACAUCACUCAUAAGGCCUGAAAGCCAUCUCAUAUCACUCAACAUAUCCUCACAUUUGAAAUAUCAUUUAAGUCUCAAAAUCAAGUAAAAGUGGCUGAGUUUGUAAACCAGUAUAAAUCAAUAUGACUGAGUUCAAAUAAUAUGUUAAAAUAGUGAGGAAACAGCGAUAAAAGUAAAGCCCAAAUAUAGCAUUAAGCCCAAGUCAUGAUGAUAACAAUUAAGUCUCAAUCAAAUACACGGUAAAAACAUCAAUCAGGAUGGACGAAGUCACAAUCCCCAGUAGUGAACGAUCCCCCACCCGUCAUUUAGCGCGUGUCUCACCUCAAUAUAGCACUACUGUGUACAAUCCUGGGUUCAAACCCUCAAGAUAUUAUUUACAAUCAUUACUCACCUCAAGUCGGCCAGAACUCUAGCUCGCUAUGCCCUUGCCUCUCGAAUCAGCCUCCUCGCGCAUCGAAUCCGACUAAAACCACAAAGAAUACAUCAUAAUAGGCUAAGGGAGCAAUACCUAAUCGAAAAUAAUAGAAAAAUAUCAAAAAUCUCUAAAUUAGCAGAAACUGAUCCCUGGGACCACUUCUGAAAACUCAGAAAUUUUCACAUCAACGGAUUUAUUAUCUCGCCACCAGUCUAUACAUACCAAGAACUCCCAAAUUCGAACUCAAAUGACCCAUCAAAAUCCAAUUUGAAAUUUCAAAACUCAAGCCCUAGUUCUUCCCCCUUUUACUAGAUUUUCAUGAAUUUCUAGGUUGAUUAUACAAUUAAAUCAUAUUUUUGGAUCAUAAAACUCACCUCCGAUCAAUCUCAGUCGAAACCCUCUUCAAUUCUCGUACAAAGGCUCUCAAGGAUGUUCAAAAAUAGUGGAAAUAAUACUUAGCUCGCGGAGGAAAUAUCAUUAAAAACUAUGCUGCCCAGGUCAACUUUACUUUGUGCGAACGCGAAGUCCUUUUCGCGUUCGCGAUGCUAAAAAAUUUCACUUCCAAACUUUUCCCUUCCCGAACGUAGUCCCCAACCCGCGAACGCAAAGCUUCCUUAGGCCCCACUACGCAAACGCGGACCUUAUGGCCGUGAAUGCAAAGAAUAACACAACCAGAACCCCAGGAACUCCUACGUCAAUGCGAUGAUCAAUGUCUCCACCCUCUGCGAACACAACUUCCUGAACGCGAACGCGAAGCACAUUUCACAGGGCCCCAUCUUCCUUGUACACGAAGGCGGCCCUAGGCACGCAAACGCAAAGGCCAACACCUAACUGCAAUAAUUGCUGAGUUUUUUGCACUUUUCUCCAAGUUCAAACCUCCCGAUAGCCAUCUGAAAUCACCCUGAAGCCCACGAGACCUCACAGAAAAAUGCCAACCCAACCUAAAGCAUCACCCAAACGCAUUCCAAUCAUCAAAACACAUCCAACAACACUUAAAUCAUCAAUUCUCAAUGGAUCCAAUUAUAAGUUCUUCAAAAGCUUUCGAAACUCGCAUUCGAUCAAAAACCCCACCAAAUCACCUCCGAAUAACCUGAAAUUUUGCAAACACAUCCCAAAUCACUUAACGAAGCUACUUCAACUCUCGGAAUUCCAUUUUGACCCUCGGAUCAAAAUCUCAUCUAUCAAUCGGAAAUCGCCAGAAUACUAACUUCGCCAAUUCAAGCCUAAUUCUGCACCGGACCUCCAAAACUACUUCUCAUCAUGCUCCUAAGUCACAAAUCAUCCCCCCAAGCUAACUAAAUCACUGAAAAUUACAUUCGAGCCCUCUAAAUCAUAAGCCAAUCUCUGGUUGACUUUUCCAAAAUAAGCAUUCCUUAAAGAGACUAACUAUCUCAUUUCCUACCAAAACCAAUCCAAAUUGACUUGAUCACCUCAAGUACUGAUAAUGAAGCAUAGAGAAGCAUAAAAUGGGGAAACAGAGCGGUAACUCAUGAGACGACAGGUCAAGCCAUCACAAAAUAUCCAUGUAAAAAUACAUAUAUUUUCUUAAAUUUUAAUUUUGCUAAUCAUGUAUGAAAAGUACAAAUUUUCGUACGCUUAAUUCUUAAAAUGAUUAAAAAAUGUCUUUUUUUUUUAGAAAAUAAUUUUUAUCUUUACAGUAAAUAAAAUCUCAUAAACUAUCUUAUAUUACGUGUAUAAUUUACCAUAUUUGAAAAUCGCAAUAAUGGUAUCUCUCAAAAAUUAUACUUAUAAAACUUUUACUAAAAGGCUUUGUUUUAAAUAAAAUACCAUGUUAACAAAAUAUCUAACAGUAUCAAGGUUGUGAACUUACAAGGUCUCAUAAUAAUAAUGUCGUAAACCCUCUAUAAUUCUCCUAAUAAUCAUAAUCCCUUCGAACUCAUGUGGAUUUACUACGGAAAAUUCUAAUGCUAAGGUUCGGGAUGUAACACGUUGAUAGUCCAGAGUUUGUUUGUGAGGCCUUGGGAAAAGUUCAGCUUAUUAGAGAAAGACUUAAAGCGGCUCAAAGACGUCAAAAGUCUUAUUCUAACAAGAGGCAUCUUGAAAUAGAGUUCAUGGGUGGUGAUAAGGUGUUUUUGAAAUUUUCACCAAUGAAAGGAGUUAUGAUGUUUGGUAAGAAAGGGAAACUUAGUCCUAGAUUUAUCGGACCUUAUAAAAUUCUAGCAAAGAAAGGAACAUGGCUUAUAAGCUAGCGCUACCCAUUGAGUUGUUCUCUGUUCAUCAUGUCUUUCAUGUGUUUAUGGUUAGAAAGUACAUUCAUAAUGAGUCCAAUAUAAUAUCUAUCAAUACCACAGAAAUUAAAGAAGGUUUGGCUUAUGAAGAAGUACCUAUAGAAAUUCUCGAUAGACAAGUAAGAAAUUGAGAACAAAAGAUACAGCAUCGGUAAAAGUCUUGUGGAGUAAUCAUGAUUCAAAAGAAGCUAUGUGGGAAAUCGAGGAAGAUAUGAGGAAGAAGUAUCCUUAUUUAUUUUAGUAACAAGGUAUGUGAACCUAGGUUUGGCUUGAUAUUUAUAUUUCAUUUAUUAAAUACAAGUUAACAAGUGUUUAUGGCCUUCCUAGAUUAUAUUUAGUUGUUAUAGUAAUUUAGUUUGCGCCAGAGUAUAUUUAAUUCAUUAAAGUUAUUUACUUUCGCUAAAGUGUUGUGCUUUAGAUAACUGUAAGUUAUGGUGGUACCUCUAUACCGGAGUGUGAGUAAUUAAUUUAUGAGCUGUGUAUGGUACCUAUGAAUGGCCUCUUAUGGUAUAUUUGGUUGUUGUUGGCGUAGUUGUAGUAUUUGUGACAGGGAUAUUUUUUUGUAUAGUCCAAUUUACAAGGAAAACUCGACCGAAAUUUUUGAAAAUUUAGGGAGAGAGCCAAAAUUUUGAGUCCUUUGGAAAAUCGAGUAGUGCUAAGAAAACUUAAGAGGUUCAAGGACCUAAGUUAAGAUUAUUAGCUUAAGAAUAAGGUCCUAACAACAUUCGAGGACGAAUGUUUUUAAGGAGGGAAGAUUGUAAUAUUCCUCAAAUUAAUAAAAGUUUCAAGAUACACUAAUUAUAGAAUUAAAUUAUUAUUAUUAUUAUAAUUUUUCUUGCUUGUAGUGAAUAUAUAUAAACACUCCUCAAAUUAAUAAAAGUUUCAAGAUACACUAAUUAUAGAAUUAAAUUAUUAUUAUUAUUUUUCUUGCCCAUAUAUAUAUAUAUAUAUAUAUAUAUAUAUAUAUAUAUAUAUAUAGACACACACAUAUACAUAUACAUGUACACACACUUAAACUAUUUGAUAUACAAUUAGUAAAAUAUUAAUAAUUUUAAUAUUAUUAAUUAUUAAAAGUGAGUAUCAUUAAUUAUUAGUUAAGUCAGAAAAAAGAGAGGGGGAAAACAAAUAAAAUAAUAAAACAAAACAACACAAAAGGCUUAAAGCCUUAUAAUGAGAAUGACGUACUUCUCAUUCAGAUAGGCAAAAUGGCAGAAGUCUAUUUCGAACAAAUAAAGCAAGAAAAAAGAGGCGGAAACACAGGAACACAGACGCACGGAUAGGAACAGAGGCAGCCAGAAAUUGCUCGAAAAAUUCUCGGGUUCUUUAUAGCUCACUUUUUCUUGAACUCAGGUAUAUUAAAUUUUCUAUUUUCAAUUACCCUACAGUAGUAAUAGGUAAGAAUUGAGUAGUUAAUUUCCUUCUUUCUCUGUAUCAACAGUAAAUCCCAUGUUUUGGUGAGCAGAUAGAAAUUUGAAAGUUUUGAGAAGUUUGACCGGAAGUGGACUUUAUGAUAUUGGGGUCAGAAUCCGAUUUUGAAAGUUGGAGUAGGUCCGUAAUAUUGAAUAAGACCUAUGCGCAAAAUUUGAGGUCACGGACGUGAUUUGGUAGGUUUAAAAUUGGAUAUAGAACAGUAGAAGUUUGAAAUUUCGACGUUCAUAAAGCUUGAAUCGGAGUGUGAUUCAUGGUUUUAGCAUUGUUUGAUAUGAUUUGAGGCCUCGAACAAGUCUGUAAUGUAUUUGGGGAUUGGUUGGUAGGUUUGGUUGAGGUUCUGGGGGCCUCUGGCGGAUUCCAGAUGGCUAAACGAUCGAAUUUGGAAUUUGAAAAAAGGUUGGAGCUGCUGCUUCCAGUAUUUCCUCUUCUACGGAUUUGGGACUGCAAAAGAGGCCCCGUAGAAGCAGUUGUAGGUGAAGCAGCCCAGGACCGCAAAAGAGGCCCUAGAUCCGCAGAAGCGUGGGCCGUUCAUAGAAGCGAAAACAGGGAUGGAGCCCACUGUCCACAGAAGCAGCAUUUUGUCCGCAAAAGCGGAAAUAUUUUCGCAGAAGAGGAAAUUGCUGAGGCAGUGAGGGUUUCUUAAAAAAUCGGAUUAUGGCUAUUUCCUCUCAUAUUUUUCUUGGCUUGGGCGAUUCUUGGAGGGGUUUCAAGAGAGGAUAUUCGUCAUUACCGAUAAGGAAAGCUAUCCCCACCUAUUUUGAGUUAAAUACAUCAAUUAUGUAUGGAUUUGAGCAUAUAAAUUAUAGAAAAACUUGGGGUUUCAGGGAAGACCUAGAAAAUUAGUAUUCUUGAAUUUUGACCACGAUUUUGAGUAUGGAAUUAAGAUAAAAUCAUAUAUUUGAUUUCGUGAGUUUAUGGGUAGCGUUUAUCUUCGAAAAAAUUCGGAAUCCGGGCACGUGGGCCUGAGGGAAUUUUUGUCAACUUUUCGAUCGGGGUUAGGAAUUGUAAUAAAUUGGAUUAUAACGAGUACCUCAUCAUAUAUUAAUGGAUUUGUAUAAUCAUUGGCUAGUUUUGGAGCAUUGUACGUUAGUUCAAGUCUUCAGAGGAAUGUAGAAUGUCGGUUAUGGAUCUUCGGAGCGAGGUGAGUCUCCUUUCAAAUCUUGUAAGAGGAAAUUAUCCCCAUAGGUGAGUUAAUUGGUUAUGUUCUCCAAAUUGUGGGUUGUACGUACGCACGAGGUGACGAGAGUUCGUGCAUAGCUACUAUUAUGCUAUUAUCCGGGUAGUAUAGGACCCAAAAGCAUGCUAUACUUGGAAUAUCUGUAAUCCUAUGGACAUUUGAAUUUCUUAUAUUAAAGUGAAUUAGUGAAUGACUUUCUUAAAGGAUUAAACUUCAUUUUCUUAAAUUGUUAAAAGAGGAUUAGAUUUCAUUUGAAUAAUUAUUCCCCGAUAAAUUCUUAAUUUGCUAUUUGAGCAUUUAUUUUAUGUUUACCUGCAUCGUAUGUGUGAUUCGCGAGUAAGGUGAUUGUUUAUUUAAUUUUUACCGCGUCGCACGUGAUUCGCGAACGAGGUAAUAGAUGCAUCUAUGGCUCGGGCUGUUCGAUCCUCGGCAGUGCACAGUUUACAUUUCUAUUAGAGCGGGCCGUCGACUUCGGCAUGAUAUGUGCAUGUUUAUAAUGCUUACUUGAAACACCUGAUGUUGAUAUUUCCUUUUUGCCUGACAUAAAUUGUUAAAGAUAAAUGAAAAAAAGUUUUUAAAAUCCUUUUUUAAUUGUUAAAGGUGUUUACCUGUUUUAUAGUUUUGUGAGUUAGAGCCUGCUAUAUAAAAUAUAUGAUUUUCUCAUAUUUUAGUAUAUUAUUAUUGGACCAUUAGUAAUUAUCAAAGUUGACCAUCUCAUCCCUAUUUCUUCGAGAUUAGACGAGAUACGCAUUGGGUACACGUUGUUUUCAUACUCAUACUAUACUUCUGUGCAUUUUUGUUGCAUAGGUUUAUUUUGUGGCAUGUGGCUUAGUAACAUAGCAGCAUGGAUGACAUAGAUACUAGGUGACCUAUAUUUCCUCGAGGCGAUUCUGCGGCUAGUAUAGUCUCUCUCUGGAUUUCCUUUAUUUUCUGUCCAAUUGUAUUUCAGUCAAUUAUUGUACUUAUUGGUUUCUCUAAGAAAAUGCUCAUGUACUUAUGACACCUAGUUCUGGGAUGUAUUUAGGUUUAUUCGAAAUUUUAAAGGUUGUACACUAAGUACUCUUUUAAUCGUAUAAAAGAUAUGUUUUAAAAUUAUUAAAACGAGAAUUUAAUUAAGUGUUUCAGUUGUCUUGCCUGACAGCAAUGUCCGGUGCUACCACGACCCUCAGUUGAUUUUGGGUCAUGACAAUAUGGUAUCAGAGCACUAGGUUCCCAUUGGUCUCACGAGUCAUGAGCAAGUCUAGUAGAUUCUUGCGGAUCGGUACCGAGAUGUGUGUACUUAUCAUCGGGAUGCUACAUGGCUAUUAGGAGUACUUCCCUUCUUGAUACCCUUAUCUUGCGGUUCGAUUCCUUUGAGGCUUAUACAUUUGAUUCCUUCCUACUCAACCUUACGCGCGAGCGCUUGUUAUAAAUCGAGAAUUAAAGAAAUUUAAUGGCACUACAAAUGUGGCGCGGGAUGAUUCUCCAAGUAUAGUUGAUUGGACUAUUAUAGUCGCCUUAUUGAAAGAUAUUCUAUUGUUUCAGCUUAGUAAUAGAACUUCUAAGAGCCUUGAGGCUAGGCACAAGUUUCCAUGAUAUUUAUGAUCGAUCGUUUCGCAGUAUUAUAUGAUGGUAGGAUGUUUACCUAUGUGUCCAGGUAGUGAAUAACUUGCAUGAAGGUUUACUCAGUUCAUGAUCUAGAGAUUCGGUGUUUUAUUCCCGGCUGGAAAAAGGCAAUCAGGCUGAGAAUGUCCAUGUUUGAGAUGAUGAGGUGAUGGGGCUUGGUGUUUUCAAGCGUGGUGGAGUCUUCAUCGUCGGCGUAGUAUCGUCAUCCUCGAUUGAACGUGUUAAGGGGACGGUGUGCUAGUCUUCUUCAAAUUUUCCUUUGGAGAAGGAUAUUGCAGGUCAGUAAUAAAGAAGCGACAGUCGAAGAUCGCGGGAUGCGGUGGUUCAGGAUAGAAUCGACGCCCUGUUGUUGAUGGCUCGAGAAAGAUGAACUUCGGAAAGGUUUAAAGUAGUAGCAACUUGUGGGUUCAAGUUCUAUGAGAGUAGAUUUUAUCUAAGGCAACAAUUAAGUAGCAAAGUAUAAGAAAAGACAUGUGGAAAGUGUCAGGCGGUGUUUAAAAAAUUCUAGAAGGCCAAGUAUAAGAAGAGCAGGUCGAGUAGUUGAUUAAAGAAGAGAGUUUUCCCAAGGUGGGAGAGUGGCGGAGUUGCAUAUGGGCUUAGUGGUAGGAGAACUACGCGCUUUAAGGAGAGUUUGAAAUGAUGUGGGAAUUUCAGAGGUUUGUGAUUUGAGGCCUACAUAUGUAAAUUGAAGUAUGGGCCAUUAUGCGGCAGGAGAUUUGGUGUAAUGGAGAUGAGCUGCUUGAAAUGAAGAAGGAUGCAACAUAACUCUAAAUUGGGAGUUGCCGCACAUUUAAUUGAUGUCCAUGAGGAGUGAAUGGACUGGUUCAGCCGGAGAGUGAGCGCGGACCUAGGAUGGGUUAGUGGAGUCAUAAGUGAUGGUGCCCAUGCGGCAGUGUUGGAAGACGUUGGGAAGUGAUUUCUACAGGUAGGUCUUGUCAUCCCCGGUGAGCAGGUUAGCGGUCGCGUGGUUAGCAAAGCUUCUACAAAAAAUUUUAACGGCUGUUUAGAAAAAAGACCGGAUGAGCAAAUGUGGUUGAUGGUCCAGAGUUCAAAGGGGAUUUUGCAUAAAGAUUCCAAAGAUUUAGACGGUUGAUUGCGUAAGGAUAUGUCAACAAGAGAUGAAGAACUCUAGUGAGUUCCAGAUUUGCAUAAUGAUGGCUUCAAGCUAAGUGGGAGAGCCCCACCACUUAUAAUUUGGGUUGCAUGUUUAGGUACUUGCGAGGUUUCCUACUAUAAGUAUAUUGAGGGGUUUUCUCAGCUACGGGGAAAAUACCAUAAGUGAUAAUUUGAGCAAAGGAAUUGUUGAAUGCAUGCUAUGGUUGGCCUUAUUGGCUCAUGUUCGAACUUGAGGAAAGAUUCAGGAUUUAUGCCUUGUAUAGAGGCAGGCUUCAAAGAGGGUGAUUUCGCUGGGUGCUUCAUCAGAGAGUACUCAUGUGUAUAAUAUUUAUGGAGUUGAUAAUAUUCGGAACCAGGUCGGAGCGGGUGGCUCUCAGUAAAGGUCCAAGUGAAUUCAAGAGGUAAAGAUGUGGUGCCUAAUAAUGUCAAGCUUAUAGGUUCAAUUAAGAAUCAAGCCUUGAAGAAUCUUAUAAGAAAAGGCACCGAAUGUUCUGUGAUGUUUUGACUUGCGGUGUAGUAUUUGGGAGGUAUGAAAUUGUCCAUGGGAUUUGAGACAGCAUGGCCUCGCGAUUCAAGGUCACACUUUGUUCGAACUUGAGGAAGGAUUCAAGAUUUAUGACUUGUAUAGAGGCAGGCUUUGAAGAGAGUAUUCCACUGGGUGCUUCGUCGAGAGAGUAUUCAUGUGCUAUAAUAUUUAUGGAGUUGAUUCUAUUCGGAACCAUGUCAGAGUGGGUGGCUCUCAGUAACGGUCCAAGUGAAUUCAAGAGGUAAAGGUGUGGUGCCUAAUUAUGUCGAGCUUAUAGGUUCAAUUAAGAGUAAAUCCUUGAAGCAGCUUAUGAGAAAAGGCACAAAAUAUUCCGUGAGGUAUUGGUUGGCGAUGUAGCAAUUGGGAGGUGUGAAAUGGUUCGUAGGAUUUGAGACAGCAUUGUCUCAUGAUUCACGUUACUCGGGGUGAGUGUGGUAGGAGUAUGUUAUGUGUUGAAUGAAGUUAGUAUUAUUUCUAAGGCAAUCAAAGACAAACUUGGAAGGUAAUAGAUUUAUUAGCCAUGGUUGACUUGGCAUAUUAGUGGUAAGGAUCAGUUCAUCAGCAUGAUCAAGUUAUGCAGGUGAUUUGUGACGAUACGUGUGAGGCUCGUCGGCCGCCGUAAUUGAUGUUAUUCAGAAGCAUCCUUCUGUUAUGCCAUGUUAUGUGUAGGAAGAUCCCGGAAGGGCUAUGGUGGCUUGGACCACUACUUAGAGAUUUCCAUAGCCUACGGUUAUGAGAAUUUACCUGUAUGUUGCUAUGUUUCUCUUGAGGUGAGUUAAGUGAGAAGUUAUAUAUAAUGAAGUGGUACCCUAUUAGUUAUUCCGGGGUUAUGAUGAAAUCAUGUUCUAUAGUAUAUUGGCAUGUUGGGUGCAAUGAGUGGUAUGAAAAUUCGAAGUGAGGACCAAGGUUGAUGUUUGGUACUGGUAAGGAUGUCGCGAGCUCGGAUGAGCAAGAAAAAGGUUGAAUAUAUAAAGUAAAUUGGUAUUGUCUUCAGCAUUGUCAGAGAAUGGUGUUUUGUGAAUAAGGCUUUGCAUCCUGGUUAAGGAUUCUCAAUCGCUUUUCAGCAUUAGUGUGGCCUGUGGUUUAGAUGUGCGGACCCGUUAUUCAUUUCGGAAGAUUGUGGGAACGUGUCCCACGGGAAGAUUGUAUAAGUGUGAAAUGUAGUCACUUGAUUGAUUAAAGAUUUAAACCAAGUAUGAGAAUUGUGGUAAUAUCAUUAAUUUGAGAAUUUAUGCUUGGCAGGCACUUUAUUUAUUGUGUUAUGGACGGAGGAGGUUUACUCCAGUUAAGAUGGUUGUUCUUAUGUGUUAUGAGAAUAAGGGACUUACUAUGGACCUUUGAAAGGUUAUUAGCCUAGUUGGUGCAAUCAUAAAUCGGAUUGAGAUCAGUGGAUUGAUUUAAAUGUGAACAGGGCUUUAUAUCAGGCCAGUUGUAUUCGUUUCAGCGAGCGUUCCUUAUGGAAGAACAGUUAGGGUGUUAUUUUGUCGUCAGCUAUUCCAGGUAAUGAUGUAUUGCGCCAUAUGAGAUGUGAGAUGGCUUGGUAAAUCUCUUACGUGUUGAGGUUCCGCGUGGCGAUGAUGUCAUGUGAGUAGGAUGACUCUCGAGAUUUAGAUCUUGUAUUGAACCUCAGUUGUGCUUGAGUUUUGUAGCCUAUAGCGCUGUGUUUCCUCAGGGAUGGUAUUAUGCACCUUGGCAUAUUUGUGAUCGAUAUUUGGUAUUUGGUUGUAAUGGGCAGAUUUAGCUAGAAGUGCAAUCUCCUUAUGUGAAGAUCUAUAUGUGGAUCGGGUGGCACGCCGCCAUGGGUACGUUAGUUGGAUCGAGUUGCGCGCCGUAACAUUGUGAUGUUGAGUAUAGUUUUCUAUAAGCUAUUUUUUGUUUCUAGCUUCCUAUCUUCUAAGGAAAGUAUGUAUUAGUGCGGGAGUUAGGUAAUUCCUUCCAGAGUUCCAUUUCCUUUUGUAGCGCGUACGAAUUGGUGGCCUAUUGGCACUUUGUGUAAUCAUAUGAGAUUUUUGAUUGCAUUCGGGGUGGCUUAUUGCCUGAGCAGUUCGUACUGGGCGAGACGGGAUUAUUGGAUUUAGGAUCAGUGCGAUCAGAUUAUAUGAAGUAUAUUAAGGAGCAAAGAUCACUAUUUGAUUCAGAAUGUGUUAAUGUUUCUUGUCAGGCAUAUCGACUCUAUGAUUGCUUGACUCGACAUUUGAUUAUGAAUUUCUGCACAUCUUCUCCGUCGUGGCGGUAUUGUAAGAGUUAGAGUAAGACCUGUGUAUGUCAUGGGGUACAAUGGGAGCAUCAGAUUCGUGAAUCCCGACUAAGUUGAUCAGAAAUUGUUAUUGUCGUCCGGUUAGUAAAGUGAUACAAGGCGUGAAUUCAACAAAUUAUGCAGUCAUGUUUGGAUACAACAUGUAGUGAUUGAUAUGGUGAUCGUAUGUUUGAAAAAGGCUUAGCAGAGAAUUCCGGAUGUUGGAAUUGGGCUCUAAGGCCUAUUUUCUUGAAUAAAAGGGGAAUAUCUUCAGAAUUUAUCGAGAUGAUGUGUUCAACAGAGUUGUGGUAGCUUAGGAAGGUGCAUCAGAACUUAAACAGUGAUUUCAGGCUACAUCGGUGUCACACCUCCUUUUUCGCUACACGCGCAAGGGGCGUAAAGGAUUUUUUCCAAUUAAAGGACAAUCGGAACAGGAUUUGGUUAUUAAAAUUCAGAAUCGCCACUUGGGAAAUUAAUGGUGUCCCAAGUCACCGGUUUAAUCCCGAACCGAGGAAAACAUUAACUCUGUAUUACAAUCUGCGAACCAAAAAUCCGGAUAAAGAAUUUUGUUAACCCGGAAGAAGGCGUUAGGCAUUCCCGGGUUUCGUGGUUCUAGCGCGGUCGCUCGACUGUUGUAUUUGAUUUUAUCUGAUUUCAAAAGAUGUUAGCUUAUGUGCCUUUUAUUCGUAAACCGCUUUUUAUCAUUGUUUAUUUUAAAAGAAUUGCGACGUCGUGAAAACGUAUUUCGAACCACGUCGCAAUCAAUGCACCCGUAGUUGUCAACACAUUUCGACUUUGUCGAGAUUUGGAUUCGGGUCGCAUCAAUGCGCACCCAAGUUUAAGGAAGUAAUUUAAUUAAAAUGCGCCUAAAGAUUCUAACGUAUUAUUAUUUGGGGAAGCCCAUGAAAUUCACUAAAUGACCCUCCCAAAUUCUAAGUAUCUUGAUAACCAAUUAUUGAGGGCCCUGUAAUUUUGUAGUUUGAUUCGGCGAGGCUCAUCUAAUUUUAUUUAAAGGGUAAGCCUAAAGUGACUAUAAUUUUUCUAUUUAUUCCGUCUCUAAAAUAAAAAUAGAAAAGUCCUAACUAAUUAUCAUGGCUUAAGUACUACAAUAUUUGGGUCUAUAUACUCAUGUGACUAAUACUGCCAAUGAAUUAGACUAAUUAUUAUGCUUUAAGAUACAUAAAAUAAAAUAACAGCUAAUCUUUAACAAACACGCAAGAAAAGGAACUUUUCAUUUCAAGCUAACAAACUGUUAAAUGAAAUAAAGCCUACUUUAGUCAACCAACUUUUUUUAAAAGAAAUCAAAAGAGAAAAUAGUUACAUGGACACUAUACAACCAUGUAUCAUUACGCGGAUUGAAUAACACAGUACAGAAAUUUGAAAGUAUAAAAAUGGAAGUAAACUACUCAAAUACCAAAAGAAGAAAAACUGAGAACGGUCAUUGCAAAAACAAACUCCAUCCUAGCAGCACUAGCACAUAAGACGACUUUAAAUUCAUUCAACUAGGUAAAAUGUUCAACGCAUAUUAAUAAUGCAACAUCAAAUAAAUCUAAGAGGGAUUGUGGCAUCAGUAACAAAUACUAUAUAGAUUUCAAGCUAUUCAAAAACAAAAUGGAGGCCAACCUUAAGGAUUGAAAUUAUAUACUCAGUUGAAGGAAAUUCCAACCGCAUACAAAGCUUGAAAAUGUAUCGGCAAUCACACCGGAAAAAGUCGAACAGGACCAGCGACUCGAUACCUCAACGGCAACCUCGAGCGAGCUCAAGCGCGUACAAGAAACCUCAAGCAACCUCGAUCGGAACUCAAAUCAGAAGCUCGAACGGAUCUCACAAACGAGUUCCAAAAAAAAUGGACUCAACCUCAAACGACAACUGGAGUCAAUAAUCAACUAAAACUCACUGGUGAAAUGGUUUCUAGAGCAACAAUAGCACUUGAAAACGGAAAUUUCAGAUUCACAGUGCUUUUGGUCUAGGCUGCUUCGGCGAUGGCUGGCGUUUCCAGAGAGUUUGCCGCUGGUUUUGGUGAAGAAGAAAGGGUAUCGUUUGGAGACAAUUGGGGGGUGGGGGGGUAAGGGAUCGUUUUUGGUUUUGGCCGUUAAUCUUCGGUCUUCAUGGAGAAGACGAUCGCUUUCUCUCCUUUGUUUUUUUUUUUUUUGGGCGUUUUCUCUUCAGAUUUUUCCGUUUGUUUUGUUUUAGCUUCUUCGUUCUUUUUUGUAUUCCGUUUUUUGUAGUUUUUUUUUUCUUUUGUAAUUUUUGUGUGUAUUUUUCAUUGGUUAGAAAAUAAUUUUAUAGAGUGUAUGGAAUGAGAUGUUAUGUGGGGGAGUUUUAUUUGGGGAGAAGGUGUUAUAUGAGGAAUAUUUUUGGGGGCAGGUUUCAUAUGAGGGGGAAAUGGUUUGGGGAGGAAAUAUUUUAGGGAAGGCUCUUCCCAUUUUUUAUACUCCCAGUUUCUUUUAUCUUCCUCUUUUUUGUAUUUUAUUUAUUUAUUUUGUAUUUAUUUUUUAAUUUUGUUAAAUGCUACAUUAAAAACCAAAACUCAAAUUGACUCUAAAAUUAUACUUUCAAAUUUUCAGUUACACAAAUUCCCUAUUUAAAUGCAAACUAAGACAAAUUAAAACUAAAAAUGCAAAAAGAAUCAUUUUUGUUAUUUUUCUUUUCCUAAAAGUUACUCAACUACUAAUUAAUGCUAAAAUAUAAAAUUAAAUUCUAAAUUGAAAUGCCAAGUAUUUUUGGUAUUUAUUAUUUUGAUUUUAAAAUAUUAAAAUGCGACUAAAUAAAGAAAAAUUCCUAAAGCAAAUCAAUAAAAAUUAUUUGAUCUAUUUUUAGGAGUUAUCUACAUGUAGGGCAAAAAUCACAUGCUUACAAACGGUGUAAUUCUCAGCACGUUCGAGGACGAACGUAUGUUUAAGUGGGAGAGAAUGUAACGAACCGACUGAUUGUUUUGAGCCCGAGCGCGUCUUUCAGCAGUUUGAGGCCAUCCGAAGCUUCAUUUCAGGUAUUAUGACUCGCACACGUUGUCGAAAUUGAAUUUUGGAAAGGUUAGAGUUGAUUUGGAAAGAGAAUUCUCAUUUCGAAAGCAUAAAGUUGAAGGAAUGAACUAGGAUUGGAAUUUUGAGUAAAUGACCUCGGAAUCGGGAACUGAAGGUUCCAGCAGGUUCAUAUGACCAUUUCGGACUGGAGCGUAUGCCAGGAUAGGGUUUUGGAUGACCGUGUGCGUUUUGACGUCUAUUGUGGAAGUUAGCUUUUUGGAAGAUAUUUUAUAAAUUUGGCUUGAAGUGCAUUUCAGUGUUAUCGAUGUCCAUUUGGUAUUCCAAGAUUGAGAGUAGCUCCGUAUGGUGAUUCUGGAGUUGAGAGCGCGAUCGGAAGAGAAUUCGGAGGUCCGUAAGUCAUUUUGGAGACAUUUGGCUAAAGAUAGAAAUUUGAAGGUUUUGAGAAGUUUGACCAGAAGUAAACUUUUUGAUAUCGGAGUUGGAAUCCGAUUCUGAAAGUUGGAGUAGGCUCGUAAUGUCGAAUAAGACUUUUGUGCAAAAUUUGAGGUCAAUCUGACGUGAUUUGAUAGGUUAAAAGUUUGAAAUUUCGAAGAUCAUAAAGCUUGAAUCGGGUUGUAAUUCAUGGUUUUAGCGUUGUUUGAUAUGAUUUGAGGCCUCGAACAGGUCUGAAAUAUGUUUUGGGAUUGGUUGGUAGGUUUAGUUGAGGUCCCGGAGGCCUCGGGUGGAUUCUGGAUGGACGGAUCGAAUUCGGAGUUUGAAGAAGGGCUGGAGUUGUUGCUACUGGUAUUUCCACUUUUGCGGAUUUGGGACCGCUUCUGCGGUCCUGUAGAAGCGAAGAAGAAGCUGCAGAAGCGCUUGGAGGUGAAACAACCCAGGACCACAGAAGCAGCCCUAGAUCCGCAAAAGCAAAACCGCAGAAGAGGUGAGCCGUCUGCAGAAGCGAAAAUUGGGCUGGAGACCAUUGUCCGCAGAAGCGGCAUUUUGUCCGCAAAAGCAGGACUGCAGAAGCGGAAAUAUUUUCGCAGAAGAGGAAAUUGCUGAGGCAGUGAGGGUGUUUUAUAAAAUCGGAUUUUGGCUAUUUCUUCUCAUAUUGUUUUUGGCUUGGGCGAUUCUUGGAGGGGUUUCAAGAGAGGAUCUAUUGAUAAGGUAAGUUAUCCUCGCCUAUUUUGAGUUAAAUACAUCAAUUAUGUACGGAUUUGAGCAUGAAUAUGUUAGAAAAACUUGGGGUUUGAGGGAAGACCUAGGAAAUUAGUACUCUUGAAUUUUGACCACGAUUUUGAGAUGGAAUUAAGAUAAAAUCAUAUAUGAGUUCAUGAGUUUAUGGGUAGAGUUAUCUUCGAAAAAUUCCGAAAUCCAGGCACAUGGGCCCGAAGGCAUUGUUGUCAAUUUUUCGACCGGGGUUAGGAAUUGCUAUAAAUUGGAUUAUAAUGAGUACCUCAGCAUAUAAAUGGAUUUGUAUAAUCAUUGGCUAGUUUUGGAGAAUUGUGUGUUGGUUCAAGUCUUUAGAGGAAUGUAGAAUGCCGAUUAUGGAUCUUUAGAGCGAGAUGAGUCUCCUUUCUAACCUUGUAAGAAGGAAUUGUCCCCAUAUGUGAUUUAAUUGGUUAUGUGCUCCUAAUUGUGAGGGCUGUGUACACAUGUGGUGACGAGAGUCCAUGCGUAGUUAUUAUUAUGUUAGUGUCCGGGUAGUCUAGGACUCAAAAAUAUGUUAUACUUGGAAUAUCUGUAAUCCUAUGGACAUUUGAAUUUCUUAAAUUAAAUUGAAUUAGUGAAUGAAUUUCUAAAAGGAUUAAACUUCAUUUUCUUAAAUUGUUAAAAGAGGAUUGGAUUUCAUUUGAAUAGUUAUUCCCCGAUAAAUUCUUAAUUUACUAUUUGAGCAUGUAUUUUAUGUGUACCUACAUCGCAUGUAUAAUUUACGAGCUGGGUAAUUGUUUAUUUAAGUUUUACCACAUCGCACAUAUGAUUCGCGAGCGAGGUAAUAGAUGCUUCUAUGGUUCGGGCCAUUCGACCCUUUGGCAAUGCAGAGUUUACACUUCUGUUGGAGCUGGCCGUCGACCUCAACAUGAUAUGCGCAUGUUUAUACUGCUUACUUGAAACACUUGAUGUUGAUAUUGCAUUUUUGCCUGACAUAAAUUGCUGAAGAUAAAUGAAAAGAAAUCUUGAAAAUCCUUUGUUAAUUGUUAAAAGUGAUUACCUGUUUUACAGUUUUGUGAGUUAGAGCCUGCUAUAUAAAAUCCAUGAUUUCCUCUAUCUGAUACACAUUAUUUUCAUACUCAUACUACACUUCUAUGAAUUUUUGUUGCACAAGUUUAUUGUGUGGCUUGUGGUUUAAUAGCAUAGCGGCAUGGCUGGCACAGAGACUAGGUGAGCUAUAUCUUAUCAAGGAGAUUCCACAGCUAGUAUAGUCUCUCUCUGGACUUCCUUUAUUUUCUACCCAAUUGUAUUCCGGACAGUUAUUGUACUUAUUGGUUUCUCUUAGAAAAUAAUCAUGUACUUAUGACACCGAGUUCUGGGAUGUAUUUAGGUUUAUUCGGAAUUUUAAAGGUUGUUUAAAUGUUUCAUUACUAAAUUCAGAGAAUUAUACUGAGUACUCUUUUAAUCGUAUAAAAGAGAUAUAUUAAAUUUAUUAAAACGAGAAUUCAAUUAAGUAUUUCAGUUGGCUUGCCUGACAGCGCUGUCCGGCGCCACCACGACCCUUAGUGGAUUUUGGAUCGUGAUAGUCCAGGCCUAAGGUCCUGACCAAGACGUUGACUUCCUGAAACUACUUGUGCCAAAGUCGAGAGCACACGAGUCGAGGGUCUCGUUGCUGAGAAUUUACUUAGCCAUUCCUAUAUGAGACAUGAGCGCGGAGAACCAUGAAACGAGUGACACCUCGUGGAUUGGGCCUAUUCAAUCAGGUUGGGAUCGAACUCGUGCCGAUCACAUGGUGAUUGCAGCAGAAUUAAGCCAUGAUAGUUAGACGAGAAACUUACACAAAUGUCACAAAUAAACCUCAACUUACCAACCUCCACCCAUUAAUCAUAGGCUUACCCAAACUAGCCAACAAAAAUUAAAAAACCAAAUAAUAGAGUUCUUUCUCUCAAAUAAUCACAUGCAAAAAUGACCUUCCAUAUAUUUAAGCGUGAUUAGCAACACUAGAUACAAUAUGGAAAGGAAAUUUUAUGGAUGAGGUAGCAAACAAGGUGAUGAAAUACAAAAAAUAUAUACAAUAUUUCAAAAAUCUAAACAAAAAAGACACUUUUUCAAUGGGUAUAGUUGAAAUUCACCGAAAAUAUAUAGAUAAGUCAAUAUACAAUGUUUGAGGAAUAUUGGAGUUGAUUUGGACUGGUUUUGUAUAAAAAUUCGUAAUUAAAUCGAGUUCAAAAAAGUCUUCUGCGACACAUGUAUCAAACAUGUAUCACGCAUGUAUCUAACACACAUGUAUAUAUGGAUAUACAUGCGAUACACAAUAGAUACAAAUAGGAUACAUAUGUGAUACACAAAGAUACACAGUGUGAUCGAAUUUUCAAUUCAACCCACCUCAAAACUUCACCACAUAAUUUCAAAACUAAGAUUUAAUCUCCUUAACUUAUGCCCAAUCUAUUCUAAUAACACCCACUCAAAACAAAGCAAAAGUUUGAUAAUUAUUUUCUACAAAUAAUUAAUUGGCUAAUUUAGCUAAUAUAAGUAAUAUUUUACCCAUUGACCAACUUUUAUAAUGAGCUACCUAUAAAUGGACAUAGCUGGUAAUUUUCCCAGUUGGAACACCCAAAGUAUAAAGUGAAAUAUUUUUUUAAUAAGCAAGAUUAAAAAAAGAAUUUCUUUUAGAAUAUUCAUUAAACUGCUAUCAUGCAACUAUUUUAGAAUUAUUCUUAUAAGCUUUAUAUUUUACAUGCAUUUAGAACCUCUGCUCAUAAUGUUUAUGUUAUUAAAGUUUUUCCUCUUUUGUUGAGACUCAUUGAGUACAAUGGAUGGUAUUGACGUUCUCUUUUGGGAACCUACGUUGGUUUGUGGUACAACGUAGGAACCGAAUUUGCAGGCGAGUAGGCUACGAGUUAGGACUUCCUUCUCUUCCAGUGCUAUUGGUGAGCUCCACUUUUGUUCGUGGAUUUACAGGCGAGCAGGCUACGAGUUAGGACUUCUUUCUCUUUCAGUGAUAUUGUUGAGCUCUGCUUUUGUUCGUGGAGUAUUGCUUAGAGUCAUCUUUAUUUAGUUAUUUCUUUGUUACUUAGAGAACUGACUAGGAAAUCUCAUGUCCUGAGCAGUGCGCCAGUUUAUCAGUAGAGGCUUCAUAGACAUUGUCGUUGGGUUAAGAUUCAGAUGUUUUUGAUAACAACUUAGCUUUAGUUCAUUGGUUAUUAUUAAUAAAGUUUCGGAAGUUGAUUUAUUCAAAUAUUUAAAUUAAUCAAAAGUAUUUGGUUACAGUAUUUCCUUGUUGCAUAAAAAGUUUGGAGUUAUAAUAGAUUUGAUAAGCAGAAAUGGAUCGCUCGGUCAUGUUUAGUAAUCAAGUGCCGAUCCCGGCUUGUUCAGGAAAUGGGUCGUGACAGUUAACCCCUAAACGAGGGUGUCCUCUUUUGUAGGACUUGGUGGAAUGAAGACAGAGUUUAACAAGUUGAUGAUGUUAGGCGGGAGAUCUAUGGAUAAUGUAAAUAAGUCCCAAACUCAUGAAUUGUAGACUAAGUUACCUUGGCAUUUAGGUCAUUUCGGGACAGAGGGCCCUCAAUUAGUUCCCUAAUUGCUGGUUGGUUGGGUAUCCAAGCAUCAUUCAAAAAAUUAACCCUAUUUUCUCGAUGAACUACUCAUCCGCUUGCUUUGCUACAAAUGUUCAAUCCCCUAAGGAUGCACUGCCAUGUAGGGGAUUUGGGGUACCUAGGAUAUCUAGAGGUUCUAAUUAUCCUAUGAGUUGGUAGUUGGUUCACAUAUCAAAUUAAAACUAACAUCUCUAAUUAGGGAUGACAAACGGUCGAGGCGAGUCGGAAUGAGUAAAAAAUGUUUAAUGUAAAAAUGGUUAAAUUAUCUGGUCCGACCCAUAUUUAAUAGGGAUAGAAAAUAGGUUAAUUGACAAAUAAUAUGGAUAUCCAUAUUAUCUAUGACUUAUUGAAUAUGAUUACUUUGGGAGAAUUUCUAGUCUUCCAAAUUUUAAAAACCUACAAUUUAAGUCUUUACAAAUGUAAAAAUAAAUUCCAUUGGCUGUUCAUUUUUUAUGGAUCUUGUCACACCUUCUUGUUCCGCACCCCGAGGGGUGAAAGAGUUUUUUUCAAUUAAAGGACAAUCGAAGGGGAUUUGUUUAUUUAUUUCAAAGUCGCCACUUGGGAGAUUUAGGGUAUCCCAAGUCACCGGUUUUAAUCCACACCCCAACUCACCAGUUUUAAUCCCGAAUCGAGGAAAAUAAUUGACUCUAAAUUACAAUCUGCAUACCAGAUAUCCAGAUAAGGAAUUUUGUUAAACCGGGAGAAGGUGUUAGGCAUUUCCGAAUUCGGUGGUUCUAGCACGGUCGCUCAACUGUUAUAUUCAGCUUAUUUAUCUGAUUUUAGUAAUUAUGCACUUAGUGCAAAUUGUGAGUUGUUACCGCUUUUAUUAUUAUUAUUGUUAUUUUCGAAAAGAAUUACAACAUUGUGAAAACGUAUGUCGAACCACGUCACAACCAGUGUACACAUAGUCGUCGACACAUUUCGACUUCGUUGAGAUUUGGAUUUAGGCUUCAUAGAUGCACACCCGCAUUUAAGGAAGUAAUUUUAUUAAAGACGCUCCCUAAGCGACCAACGUAGCGUUAUUUUGGGCAAGACCGUGAAAUUUUGUUAAACGGCCCAUUCCAGAGUCUAACCUACUUUGUAAAUACGUAUGGAGGGCCCCGCAACUUGCAAUUUAUUAGGCUCGGCUCGGCUCGGCUCAUUUUAUUAUUUGAAAGGCAAACCUAUUGCAACUACGAUAUUUUUUUUACUGUAAGAGGGCCAUGAAAAAUUCAACUAAUGGCACGUCCCCGUUUCUAUAUGGUUAAAAUUAAUUAAGUGAGAGCCAUGAGUUUUCGAAUAAAUUGAUAUGGAAUCAAUAUAUUCUUUUACAUUAUCAAUUUGCAUAUUCUCUAUUUACAUAAUACUAGCCAAAAUAUAUUUACACAGUAACAAAUAUUACCAAGAAACGUUGAUCCACAAUACUAGGAGAGCAAAGAAAAUAAGCUGAAAAUAUUUCAAGUUUACAUUCCACUGCAUAUAUUUAUAUAAAAAAAACGUGAAAAAGGACUAAAAUAUGCAUGAUACACAUGUACAUCAGUGUUUACACGCAACUGCAUAUAUUUUAUAUAAAAAAACGUGAAAAAAGGGACUAAAAUAUGCAUGAUACACAUGUACAUCAGUAUAUGAAGACGUGCCUAUGCGUAUUCAAGGCAUGGAUUCAUUUUUAUUCUAGAAAGAUCAAUAAUUCUACAUGACACAUUCAUUGUUUCAAUCUAUCGGACCACAAUAUCAGAUUAGCAGCACAAAGGAAACAAAAAUAUAGAGAAAUGAGAGACUUACCUAACAAUAAAAAAUAGGUGAAUUUGACGAUCCAAACAAAAACCAACCAUAAGUUGAUAUCCAAUGAACUAGCAGUCAAAUUCAAUUCCCUUUGCACCUCAAUAGCAAAGAAAGUCAGCAAUUACACAUAUCUUGACUCCAAAAUUCGUCCAAGAAAGCAAUAACAAGUUGGACCCAGAACCGCAAACAAAACUUGGCCAAACUGGAAACCUUCGACCGAAGACUGCGAAAUCUCUAAUGGAAAUCUCGAAUGGAACUCAUAACAUGAAUGGCAACCUCAAGAGUGGUUUCAUGGAUGCACAUGCUGGUCGAUUCUGGAGGUUUUGAGACGGGGAGAGGCUGGCGAUGGAGAUUGGAGGAGAAGGAGUGGUCGUUUGGGCUUGAAGAAGAAGAGACAGCGAGCUCACUGUUGCGGGUGGUGUUCAGCUGGUUGUGACUGAUGGUUGCUGGUCGUUUGAGGGCUGUUGGGCUGCUGGACAGCGUUGGAGAAUGAGGAAGGUGACCGGUCUGCUGAGGUUGUUUGGAUGGUGACUGGAGGAGUUUGUUCAAGGGUGAGAUUGUUGUUGGUUAUGAAGAAGACGAAGAAGAACAAUCCUCUCCCCCUCUCCUCAAUGUGUAUGGUCUAUUUUAUUCAAAAUUCCUCACCUUUUUCUUUUUCAUUUGACUAAGUCCCCUUUUCUUAGUAUCCAGCUGCCUCUUUUUAGAAUCUAAGGCGUGCAAAAAAAAUAGUGUUCUGUCCCCAUGCCUGUCAUUAUUGUAGUUCCCUUUUUUUUUAAAGAAUGUUGACCAUCCGUGAAUCCCUCCCCCAAUUGUGUAAUUGUGUCUCCCCUGGUCUCGUGUUACGUAUAAGGUGUGG
Molecule: long non-coding RNA, 29184 nt
Filed under: Nicotiana benthamiana
Lineage: Eukaryota; Viridiplantae; Streptophyta; Magnoliopsida; Solanales; Solanaceae
Description: long non-coding RNA (NBEN_LNC017800)
Source: RNAcentral